AAAAGCCUGUGAAGCCUCUCUUCAAAGCUUUCUCUUUUGGAAUUGUCAUGCUAAAGGAGGAUUUAAUUAAUGCUCUGUAUGUGCAUUUCCAAUGGAAAUGGUCACACUUGGAGAAGAGGAGAGGGAGGAAGGAAAGACCCUCUUGCUUUGCUUUCCACAGUUAAUUUGGAGAACUCUUCUUUGGCUGUGGUCCCUGAUAUCUCCCAUGGCCGCAGUCUCAACACUGAAAAUAUCUAUGCAGCAUUCUCAUGGGUGGCAACUGGUCUUCUAGAGCACUUCAAGAAAAAAAAAAUACAAGUAGAAAAGCUUUUUUUCAUAUUUCCCAAAUUCAUGUGUGCUUUUCAAGUCUUAGUUUUCAAAAAAUGUCCUUUUUUAUGUGUUCUUUUAAAAUCAUAGUUUAAAAAAAAUUGCCUUUUUGGAUGUUUUUGCCAGGUCACAGGUCUGUGUAUGGUAUUACAGUAAAACAAGUCUGUGACUGACAGACCCUAGUGUGACAUGCAAAUGUACUUAUACCAUGUGUUCUUUACAUUUUCCUGAGUGUACAGGCAUAUUUUUCCUCAAAAUUUUGAAAAAACCCUCCAUUCUCCUUCUCUGUGUCUCAGAGAGGGGACUGUUCUAUUCUGGAAGAUUUUUAGAUUAAAUACAUAAGCAGAGAUAUAGGUAGCUGAUAGGGGUAGCAUGGAUAUAAGUGGGUCCUGGAAAACUGUUUUCCCAGUCUCCUUUGUCUCUUUUCCAAACAGUGUCUAUGGGAACAGGGAGCUUAAUGAGCUGGUUGUGACACAGGAUGCGUGGGCAGACCUUGCUGUUAUCUGUUUGGUUCUGGAGAAACACUCAAUCACAAUUGAAUGCAAGAAUUGGCAUUGGAAAUUUGGCAGAAAGCAAUACUGUCCUAAUGGCAAGAUUUAAAAUGAAUAUUUCAAUUUUGGUGCCAGAAUAUAGUAACUAGUGGAUGAAAUUGCUCAUAAAGCAUUCAGCAGCCUCAUUAAGAUGGGUCAUAUUGUCUGCAGGCAGGAGUAG
This 1017-nucleotide long non-coding RNA is filed under the name Zonotrichia albicollis (white-throated sparrow). Its description in RNAcentral is "lncRNA (ENSZALG00000000843.1)". Lineage: Eukaryota; Metazoa; Chordata; Aves; Passeriformes; Passerellidae. The record is from RNAcentral.